This 456-nucleotide unclassified non-coding RNA is filed under the name Hevea brasiliensis (rubber tree). Lineage: Eukaryota; Viridiplantae; Streptophyta; Magnoliopsida; Malpighiales; Euphorbiaceae. The record is from RNAcentral.
GUUUUGGAAAGAAAAGAUGCAGCCGGAGAAAAGAUAUCUGUGGAUCACCUCUCAGAGAUUUGUACUUUGGCUGUCCGAGAGUCUUUAGCCAAUGUAUUCGGUGAUCAGUUUGAGUCUUUCGUGAGGAACUUUGAGAAAUCGUUUCAUAGUACCUUGAUGACUCUCCGAUUGAUCAGUGAAUCCUCAAUGAACAGUGGAGUACAGCAACAUAAUUGUGCAGCAAGGACUUCUGUCUCAGAAAGAUCUGUGCCUUUUAUUUCUAACAGAGUAGAAAAUGUUACAUGUGAUCCUGACUUCAGUGAGUUCCAAUCGGAGUCAUUUCAGCAGAAUAGCUCAGAUAACGAACUGAGCAAUCAAGAAGAGAGAAGUGACGGGACAUGUUUUGAAUCAAUAGGUCGGCAGCUUACCCGCUAUGAUAGGCAAGUAAGGCAACAGUUGGCUUCUGCUUCUUCAAGC